CGUUAGUCCUGUAAGUUUCGCGGAAAGAGGAACGACUGGGAAUGAUUUCAUAUAUAAUAGAUAGUCUAUGGCUUGGCAAUAGCUACCAGGAAUAGUAGAAGUCUAUGGUUGACUGCUUGCCAAGACUAGAAAUGGUGGCGAGGCGAGUGUUCCGGAGUGCGUUACGCUGUUCUUUUUGUCGUAUUUUUGGCAGGUUCAUGUAUUACGUUUGUGAAUAAUUGUGCAAAACAAUGCCGAGAACUAAGUCUAGGCGAAUUUCUGUGAUGUCAACGUAAAAAUCCAAGUCUCUCAACGGCGGAUAAAGUUUUAUCAGGUCAUCAGUGUUGUCCUAUGAGUAAAAUUUUUGAAUAUUGUCAAAAUGGCAGCAGAAUACAGUAGAAACGUAUUAAGAGUAGUGGUGGCUCAAAUAUGCCAAACGAUCGGAUGGCACUCAAUAAAUUCUACGCCGCUGGAAUUCUUGGUCGAUCUCAUGCAAGAGUACCUAACGAGGACAUCUAAAUUGACUCACCAAUAUGCCGAAGUCUUGGGAAAAACGGAACCGAACCUCGAUGAUCUUGGAUUAGCCUUUCAGCACAUGAAUAUAGACAUUCAAGAACUAGCAGAAUACGUUAAAAAUGUUGAUUCAGUCCCAUGUGCCAUCGAGGUACCUAAAUUUCCUGUACCUCGCGAAAGUCAUAUGAAUUUUUUGAAGCCAGGAAGCAGAGAGGUCGUUACUAGGCCUGUUCAUGUUCACGAACACUUGCCAGCUAUGUACCCUGACACAGAAGAUGAAUAUCCUCCAACUAAAUCUGAAAACCCAUCUGAAACAACUCCAGAAGUAACGCCUUUAAACGGCUCUCCACCUGACGGAUCGGCGAACAUAUCGCCACAAAGUACGUCGCCACAAGUGGUUUUCAAACGCCCUGGAGAUCCAGUGUCUCUUGAAAGUCCAAUAGCUAAGCGACCAAGAGUAGUCGAGGAAGGUAGACCACUGCGUGAGAUUCAUAGUGUGAUGAUGACUACUUCAGGGUUUUUGUCCCCUGCCAGGGAGGGGAAACUUCCCGAAGCUCGAACACCUCAACAAGCUCGAUCAGACUCUCCGUCGCCAAGCUCGUAUCCAAUGGUUCCCCCUGAAUUGAAUUCCGACAAAAAGCCAAAGAAAAUUGUGAAUAAAAAGAAUGGAGAAGAUAGGAAACUUGAUAAAGAAAAUAAGAAGAAGGACAGAGCGAAGGAGCUCUUUAAACCAGAUAAAAUUGAUGAUAGUAAAGUUAAAAAAUUAGCUGGCAUGAAGGAACUUGCCAAAUUGAAAGCCCUAAAGCCAGGUGGUGGCAAGAGCCAAACAGGGAUAGCUGGUCCUUCAGCAAGGCCUUCAACACCUAAACUUUCACCUCCAAAACCUGCCGGGAGUCCGAAGCCUCCUAAAGUAGUGCAGCCAAAAAUGAAGCUAGAAAAAUCUGAACCAACGAACAGUAGUUUGGUGCAAGAAAGGAAAGAAGAGAAGGUAGACAAGUUACCGUCCGAGCCCGACAAACAGAAGCUCAACAUUUUCAAGAAAAUCUCAAAGCCCCGGGACGAUAAAGAAAAGGAUACUCCAGAGAAUAAACACAAGGAUUUGGACUCGCGUGAAAGUUCGCCAGGUUUGAUAAUCGACGAGAAUAUCGAGAAGCUGAACAGAAAAAUUGACUCAGAGGCGAAAACUGAGGAGAAGAAGACACCCCAUACACCCGAUGUACAUGUACAACCUGAUUCCGGGGAUCCAACUGGUCUUCAAAGCCCAUCCUCUGACAUCUACAUGUUCGAUGAUAUGUCGCCACCAGGCACUCCUAGUACGCCUAAAACUCCAGAACUUAACGUACCUGUGGUUAUAGAUCAGAAAAAGAAACGGAAAGAGAAAGGAAAAAAGAAGGAAACCAAAUUAAAAAGUCCCAAGCAAUGCAUUAGUCCCAAAAAGAUCAAAAUGUCAAACGAUUUGGUGGAGCCGGAUACACCGGAGAGGCCAAAGACUCCGCAGGCACCAGAACCGCCACUUAGAGAAUUAGGACUGCCUCCGACAAUGCCGUUUCCAUUCUUUCCAACUUUUCCACCAGCUCCUGGUCUCAUUCCGCCUCCCAUUGGUCACCCAUUGUUUCCAAGGUUUCCUCUUCCACUGAGCAGAGGGGUGCCGCAUCCUGCAAUGCCUAAUUUACCAUUGCCCCCAAGAUUCGUUGGACUGAACACUAAAGUAGACGACUUUCCACCUCCAAAAUCUAAGCCUUCUGAACGGGAGAAACCGCUUCCUAUACCAGCGGUGCCCAGCUUACCUAUCCCACCAGCAAAGCCCGAAAAAGUGGAAAAAGAGAAACCCGAGAAGAUCCCAAAAAUCUCUAAACAUGACAAGGAGUUUGUGGCGCAACCCAUCACCCCAACCUUGCAACCUUCGAAUUUAGUUUUACCAGUAAUAAAUAAUAAUUUUGUGACCAAUUCCUCUUUGCUCACACCAAAGAGCCCGAAAGUUGAUAAAAUUGACAAGAAAUUGAAAGAGCACAAAAAAGAGAAGAAAGAUAAGCUGAAAAAGAAGAAAGAGAAGAAGGAAAAACAUAAAGAGAAGGGAGAAAAAAAUAAGGAGAAAAAAGAAAAGGGCGAGAAAAAGGAAAAAGCUGAGAAGAUUAAGGAAAAGCGAGAAAAGAAAGAAAAACGCAAAGACAAAGACAAAGAGGAUAAAGCCGAAGGUGUGCCUAAAAUCACGUUGAAACUUGGUCCAGCGUCUCCUAGACCACCAACACCUGAUACGACACCUUUGACGAAAAUAACGAUAAAACCACUGCUUAAGAAACCUGACGACGAAGUUAAACGCGAGCCGAGUCCUGAAUUGGCUAAGAUAUCAGCGUUAAUAACUAGGCCACCGAAGCAGAAGUCAACAAAAAGACCCGCAUUUGCACAGUGCACAAGGAAAACUGCAGAAAACCUUGUCCGGGUGCAGCCGGACCAAGUUCAAAUUGUAGCUCGCUGAUUCGGCGUCUGAACGAGAGGAGCUGUCUUACAAUUUUUUGCAAAUUGCCACUUCGGUCCUCCUCAAGAGGCUGGGCUCGCACGCUACGCUACUACAUUUUUCAAAACGUACGGAUUCCAUUACUCUACGAGUUUUACAGGAUCAAGAGGGAAGACAAGUAUGGAUAUGUCCUGCUUGUG
Molecule: unclassified non-coding RNA, 3147 nt
Filed under: Neodiprion lecontei (redheaded pine sawfly)
Lineage: Eukaryota; Metazoa; Arthropoda; Insecta; Hymenoptera; Diprionidae
Description: transcription initiation factor TFIID subunit 3, transcript variant X6
Source: RNAcentral